Molecule: long non-coding RNA, 408 nt
Filed under: Olea europaea (common olive)
Lineage: Eukaryota; Viridiplantae; Streptophyta; Magnoliopsida; Lamiales; Oleaceae
Description: long non-coding RNA (OEUR_LNC001954)
Source: RNAcentral
CGUUACGCGGCGGAGAUUCGAGAUCCCGGGAAGAAGAGCCGUGUAUGGUUGGGAACGUUCGACACGGCGGAGGAGGCGGCUCGUGCAUACGACGCCGCCGCUCGUGAGUUCCGUGGGUCUAAAGCUAAAACUAACUUCCCUUUACCUUCGGAUGUCCACAGCCCUAGCCAGAGCAGCACCGUGGAGUCAUCAAGCGUCAUAGCAAUCAAUACUCAACCGCCGGUUGAGCUUGACCUCACGCGCCUCCUUGGAGUAAAUUCCACCGCUACUGCUGUGAAUGGGUAUCAGUUUUUUCAUUACCAGCCAGCCAUGGCGGUUUCGCCCACUGGACGUCCGGUUCUGUACUUCGAUCCUCCGCCAGAAUACCGGCUGAAUACGGCGGCGGUUCACUUUCCCAAGAGCGGCGAC